ACCUAGCGUAGUUCGGAAUUACUGGGCUUAAAGAGCUCGUAGGUGGUUUGAAAAGUUGGUGGUGAAAUCCCAGGCUCAACCUUGGAACUGCCACCAAAACUUUUUGACUAGAGUGUGAUAGAGGAAAGUGGAAUUUCUAGUGUAGAGGUGAAAUUCGUAGAUAUUAGAAAGAACACCAAUUGCGAAGGCAGCUUUCUGGAUCACUACUGACACUGAGGAGCGAAAGCAUGGGUAGCGAAGAGGAUUAGAUACCCUCGUAGUCCAUGCCGUAAACGAUGUGUGCUAGACGUUGGAAAUUUAAUUUUCAGUGUCGCAGCAAAAGCGUUAAGCACACCGCCUGGGGAGUACGACCGCAAGGUUAAAACUCAAAUGAAUUGACGGGGACCCGCACAAGCAGUGGAGCAUGUGGUUUAAUUCGAAGAUACGCGCAGAACCUUACCAACACUUGACAUGUUCGUCGCGACUUUAAGAGAUUGAAGUCUUCAGUUUGGCUGGACGAAACACAGGUGCUGCAUGGCUGUCGUCAGCUCGUGUCGUGAGAUGUUGGGUUAAGUCCCGCAACGAGCGCAACCCUUACUUUUAGUUGCCACCAUUUAGUUGAGCACUCUGAAAGAACUGCCAGUGAUAAGCUGGAGGAAGGUGGGGAUGACGUCAAGUCCUCAUGGCCCUUAAGUGUUGGGCUACACACGUGCUACAAUGGCACUCACAAUAGGAAGCAAAGAGGCGACUCUAAGCAAAUCCUAAAAAAGUGUCUCAGUUCGGAUUGUACUCUGCAACUCGAGUACAUGAAGCUGGAAUUGCUAGUAAUCGCGGAUCAGCGCGCCGCGGUGAAUACGUUCCCGGGUCUUGUACACACCGCCCGUCAAGGGAGAA
This 873-nucleotide ribosomal RNA is filed under the name uncultured bacterium. RNAcentral's name for it is "bacterial SSU rRNA". It matches the Rfam family "Bacterial small subunit ribosomal RNA", at positions 533 to 1407 of the family's 1533-position model. The record is from RNAcentral.